Molecule: long non-coding RNA, 8128 nt
Organism: Falco peregrinus (peregrine falcon)
Lineage: Eukaryota; Metazoa; Chordata; Aves; Falconiformes; Falconidae
Exons: 2
Source: RefSeq, a predicted model, not a curated record
ACGGCGCGGCCGGCCGGCGGGCUGCGGGCGGUGCUGCCUGCCUCUGCGCUCCCGCACCCAGCGUGUUGCGGCCGCAGGGGCCUGGCGGGAGGCGCCGGGGCCGCCGCUGCAGCCCCCCGCCCGCCAGCCCGCGCCUCACAGCGGGCCGGGGCCGGGGCCGGGGCCAGGCGGGACCCGUGGCGCAGCGAGAGGCCCGGGCUGCGCGGGGCGGCGCCGAGCCACCUGUCCCAGCCACCUGUGCCCCGGCCCGCUGAGCCCCAACCCACCAAGGACACUCGUGCCCUUAACGGGGACAAACGAAAGGAGAAAGCAAGUAGCCUGAAGCAAGCGUGGCAGAAUGGCGCUGCGGAGGUGGGAAGGGGCCUCCGGAGGCCAUCUGGUCCGCCCCUCCUCGGGCAGGGGGAGAUGCUCCCGGCAGGCCUGGCAGGCCAGGCGCAGCUGCGGCGCCCUGCUCCGUCCUCCCCAGCCCGUGCUUUGCUCCCUGGCGCACAGAGAAAUGCAGCUAAAGGCAGGGUACAGCCAUAACCCGGUGGCCACAGGGGUUUGUUUUGAGGAGGUGUGGCGAUGGGGGAGUUGGUGCUCAGUGAAGGAAAUUUACUCCGAAACACUAAUGUGAUAGGGAAUACAGCACAGGCCUAAGGGAAACACGCAGGUUGAAUAUGCAGGGACAGGAUAUUGCUAUGGAAGAUCUCUUUGCUAACCAUUAACAUUAACAAGCACAGUAACCACCCAAAAAAAGUGAAAUCCUCAGUGGUUCAAAUGCAAAACCAUGAAGGACACUGCUGUGGAGCUGCCAUCAUGUUCCCUAUGCAUUCAUAGAUGCAUCAGUGUGGAAUGCAUAUAAAAGGUAAUGUCCAGAUGUCAUUUGUUGGGCAUGCUUCGGUAGGACUGGGAAAGUCAGGGGCAUCUGCAGCGCAACAUAGGCAGUGGAAGGGGGAAAGACGGAGAACAGGGUAAAGCUGACAGGCAGCAAAGCCAGACAUGUAAUACUUGAUGGAUUAGCUCUGAAAUGAUGGACAGAUGAGUGACGGGGGACUCCUGCAUAGACACAGCAGUUGCCAGUACAAGCAAACUCUAAGGGAAUGAUUUCACAACCUUCAACUGCAAUCAAAUGUCAGCUGUUGCCAAAAAGGUGGUUGCACAUCCAACCUACCCUCAGCAGUACCUCUGUGCCCCCUUCCUCAGGCAACCCCCAACGACUCUCUGACCCAACCAACCUUGUUCAGAGAACAAACCCCAUAGAAAGCUGGGGGGUGACAGCCUCGUCCCCGUGAGGUUAGACCAGUGCACAGAGCCAGGGAGCAGGACCAGCUGCUUCAGCAGUGGCUUGUCAUCAGAUUGCUACCUCUUCAAAAAUGGUGCUGUUCCCAUAGAAGCCAAUGACAUGCUUGAAAGCCAAGAGAAGUUAAGCCAUAGGUUUAACUACCUAGAAAGCUGGAAAACUCUUGCUGCCUUGAAACAGCCAUGUCAUCACCACAGAUGCUUAAAUUUCAGGGGAAGGGAACACGCCCGGGAGCAGCGCUGCUGGAGGAGUGCAGCCCAGGGCAGCUGAGGCAGGACAAGCUCCUGAGCAGUCUGCAGCUGGCAGGCAGUUUGAUGCCAGCUUCCAUGACAGUGGUGUGUCGAGUGACAGGGUGCUAGCAAGAGGUUUGCUGAGUAAUGUUAUCCUGGGGUCGUAAGAGGAAAGCAAGCAGCAUGGACUGCUGAGGCUAGGCCACCUCUGCUCUACCUGAACUGGGUGGCCCUGGGAGCACUGUCGAGCUACACCUCAACCCAGGUUAGGGGAGGCUCAGUGUGAGCUGGCCCCUGCUGCUUUCCGUAUACCUGGGUCUCCCACAUGGAACUGUGACAGCAGGGCAGGAGGAAGCCACCACAUGCUUCAACCUGGAUCGUUUGGGAUUAGGACCUUGGCCUCACCUCAUGACCCCACCACCCCCAGCCUCUUGGACCUAGCACUAUGCCUGGCCCUGCCUCAGCUCACCUCACAGCAGAACAGGGAGACACUGAUUAUGCUUUUGAACCAUUCCUGAACCUCUCCUUCCCUGAGGUUCCACCGAGUUAGGAGGCUGUAGCAUGUCAUUAUCAGCCUCAAAAACAUCAGAGUGGCCUCUCUAAGGCCAGGAAGGAUAGCCAUCUGACUUAAUGUACUGCACUUCUCCCUGCCCCCUCAAUACUGCUGAAAAGCGUUGCAGUGAGCUUUAUCACAGAUACUGGCUUUAAUAUUUCAUUGGCAAAGCUCUCCAGAAUGUAAUUUAUUCUCAUGCCGUGCAAAAUAUGACUGAGGUCCAAACAGUAUGAAUCACAGCUUGCCAUAAUAACUACUAAACACAUUGUGCCCCCAAAGCGAAAGAAUUUCCUGUCAGCAACUCUGGCAAGUAGUUUCUUUUUGUGAGACAAAAGGAUAAACAAUAAAUAAUAUCCCUGAUAACUGCAGGGAUCUGUGUUGUGCUAAGAGGUCUAUCGUAACUGGAAGGCCUUGCAGUCAAUAUGCUGGAAGCCUGGGCUUAUCAAUUCACUUCCCCAUAACUCAGUUUCUCCAUCUGUAAAAAGGUAAUAACAAUAUUUCUUACCUUUGCAAAGAGCCCUGAAAAGUACUGUGCAUGGGCAAAUUGUGUGAAAUUGUUAUGUUAUAUUAGGCAAUACAGGUGGAACACAAAUAUAUCUUUGUAUCUGACAUUUUUCUGAAUGGGAAGCAUCAUACAUUCCCAUUCUUCUGAAUGGAAAGUGAUUCUCUGUUUCGUUUUCAAGUUUCUUGACUCCCUUCAGGAUGCCUACUUCAGCCUGCAGUGCUUUCCCUUAUUAGAAUUUUAUUGCAUGCAUGCAGCUUUUUACAGUGAAAGCAAAAAUUAGAGUGGGAGGGUGUGACAUGCCAAGAUUAAAAAGCAGGGGGAGGAAAUCCACUUCUCUCUAAAACAUUUACCAUGAUGUAUAGUAUAUAUCCUUUUCCUCUCCACAGGUCUGGAAGGGGAAUUCUGAUACUGUUGCCAGACCUGGCUCUCUUGCCAGUUAUUCCAAAACCAGAUUGUUUUAGUUUUUCAGCUGUUGUUUAAUAAACUACCACAUAAUGCAUUUACGGAGGCAGGUCUUCAGCAAGCCUAAAUCAUCAUAAAGUGUUUAUUUAUUGUCACUUCUCAAGAUCUUAUUCCUUGUGCUUAGUAUCUGCACUGGUUUUAAUAUUUUGAAAGUCCAUUUCAAAAAGCAAGCUAUCCUGAGAUGACUGGGCUGAAUAAAUUGACACAGAAAAUAAGAGCAAAAAGCUCUUGCUGAAUCUCAUAGUAUUCAGUAUCCCUGAAAAGAGAUCACUUUAGCAUGGCCUGUAAUCCUACAAAUCCGGGGAUUUUUUUACUUCUUUACGAUGUGAGGAUGACAAAUUGAGUAAUCCCCACUUCUUGACUUUGCACAUAAAUGUAUCUGGCAAUGCCAAGUCUUGCGCAGCAGCGAGCAUCUAGGCAAUUGCCUGAAAACUAACAACCAACCAAACUGAUACUGAAACUGAAUCUUCUUAAAAAUUAGACAAAACUUCUGCUUUGACAGUACAUUGACCUUACUGUGUUAAAAGUAAGUAAAUAAGUACACUCUACUUCUUAUCUUCUGAUCUUACUUUCUGUAAACCCUGAGCUCACAUUCAGCCAUAGGCAGAAGGCAUGUCGGCUAUCCAUGUUCUGUCAGGAACUGAUAAGACCUGGGCUGGGUUCCCUUGAAGAGGCGUCACAACUUAGUUCUCAGAGGUGGCAAGAAGGGAGAUAAAAAGGAUGAUUGCUCAGAAAUAGCCAGCGGAAUGGUUUUCCUCUAAAAUAGAGCAAUUUGACAAAAAGCAACUCUUUCACCAGAAAUAAAUAACGAAGCCUUAAAAUUCAUAACUAGCACUGGGCUUGUUUUCUAACUGUGCUGAGAGGCAGGUCAAUGGAAUUGAAAGAGCUUGGAGGACUCAUUGACCUUUCUUUUAAUAUUUCUACUUGGUAUUGAACAUUGCUAAAGCACUUCAAAGCUUGUUUUCUGGAUAAAAGAGAUAGCACCCCGAUUUACUGCCGUGUAUCCACAGAACAGCAUUCAUUCAUCAUUUGAUAAACUGAUUGUCUUAAGGCCAAAUUUGGCUUUCGUUAUGUCACACUGAAUCUGCAGUAACUUCAUCAAAAUCAGUGAUGUUGCAGCAAGCUUUAUGUCUUGAAACUGAAGGGAGUCACCGCUGUGGUUUACUGCAGCAAAAAUCAGCUUUCGAGAAGCUGCUCUCAACAGGCAGAGUAGCUGCAAGACCAUCAUCUCCUUCUGCCUCGUACUCCUCUCGCUUCCCCUUCCAUUAACGGAUAUUAUCAACAGAAUAUGGAGUAUGCCAGGAUGAAAGGGCUGAGCCAGCAGAUGAGGCCAAAUAGGGGCUUUGCAGAAGGCAGGUCUCAAAAAAAAAGCAACCAACAGUUCAGACGGGAGGAACAAUGCUAGAGAAUGGCUGAGAAAGGCAUAUAGGAUAAUUUAGAUGUAGGUUAGCUGCCAUGGCAACCACGUACCAAAUUACUGCACUUCUGUGUCUCUAAACCUGCCAGCAGCUACUUGUGUUUAUAUGUAUUUUAGGCUUUAAAAAAAAAAAUGAAUCCACCUUAAAACUCACAAUGGCUUGCAAAUGAAGUACAGAUACUGGGAUUGCUGUGGGGUGUUUGAUUUAAACAUAUAGAAACAGAUAUAUAUGAAAAAUAAUAGGCCUUGACAAUUCUGAUUAAGUGGUUACAAAUAUGUAAUUUCUUUAACAUUUAUAGCAGUCAGUUCUAACCUUUAAUUUAUACUGCUUUGACUUGCACAUAUUUACCAGGACAACUUGACAUCUUUACCUCUAAUGCAUAUAUAAGAAUGAAAUUGGUCCUAGCAGCAGCUCUGUUUGGUUUUCACUGUGACAUACUGCCAUGUUAUAAAAAGAGUAAGAUGUUUUCUUUUAAUCCAGGGUUCUUUAGAAAUAUGGUAAAAUAUCGGAUCGCUAAAGAAUAGAAACAAGGCUAUCAAAAAGCAUGCUGCAAGGCACAUGUAUAUUUUAGUUACUAAGAAUAGUCCAUUGCUGAGUGUGAGUGAAAAUAUCCACAUGCGUUCCCUUGAUAAGCUAGGUAUGUAUUCAUUUCUCUGGGCACACGUGUGUCCUCAAAUGGAAAAAUAAUGUUACAACAACCUAACCUCUGCUUCCAGUUUAUACCUAUGUAAUCCUAGGGGAACACAGCCUUCACACCGCCUCUCUGCGGGAAGCCAAUAGACCAUAAUAUCCAUUGGACUUCUCAUAUACAGUCCAUGAAAACUCUUCAGAGCAGAAAGAUGUCAGUUUUGAAGUUCCCACUGACACCUGGUGAACAUCAUUGAGACGUUCAUCCAUCAGUUGAGAGCCAUUAGGGUGUGACCCGCCAAAGUCAGCAGGAAUCUUUGAAUCAGCUGCAGAAGGAGCUGUGGUCAGUGCCAGGAGAUAACUCCCCAUCCCACCACCAUCACAUGAUACUCAGUGUAGACUGUGGUAUUCAAUAAUCACAGCCUGCCUCUAGCCAAGAUGUUGAGCAGAGAUCUUUAUUUUGACGACAUUUUCCCAAUAGUUUCUGCUUAAUGGGAUAUGUCUUAAGAUUUCCUGUAUUUGGAAAAUUGAAAAGAGUUAAAGCUACAGUUCUCUAUUCCAUAUUUUAUUUUCUUGACCAAUAUCUAAGACACUAGCCCUUAAAUACCGCUUAUGAAAACCACAAUCCAAAUACUUACAUUUCCAGCAUAUUCACUACAUGAUCUGAGAACAUUCAGCUACUCUUGAGGCCCUUGCACUGUUGCUUGUAUGGUGGCUCGCUUUUGAUACAACAAUAUUCUCAUCCAGAGUUAGUUACUUGAUUUUUCUUGCAGAGUUUUCAUUUGCUUUGGUUAUUUUGCCUGCUGCAGUUACCUGACUGUGGCAACAGAGUCCCUCCAAAGUGCUUCCAAGCUACCUGGUUACCUAGAAAGCCUGGCGGUAUGUCUCCAGUGCACCUGGGAUUCUGCAUGGCCAGGACACUUCAGUGGGCUGUCUGUGAGUGGGCUGUGGGGCUGCUGAGAGCAGAUGAGUGGGAAGCAGAGCACGAGCACACUUAGAGCCAAGAAGCAUGUCUCCUUGGGUGUAUAGGUGUAAAUCACUAAGAUGUUCUCGGGUUAAGCAGCAUACCCUUGCCUGCCUGCCUUCUGCAAGUUAAAAUAAAAAAUCUGUUAUCUCUCUAAGUACACGGCCACCUGAGACAGCCUGGAUCAGUAUGAUUGCAGCUACUCUCAGCAACUGUUUAGUACCUUUGGGGAUGUGAAUCAUGUCAAGCUCAGGAAGCAGCAGCAAUGACAGGACUUCAAAGUCUACUGUUUGCCUUUAUAUCUCUCUCCCCUUCCAUAUACUUCUGCAAAUCCGUGUUCUUCUAACAUCACCUCCCAUUGAGAUUUGUGUCUGCUGAGCAAAGCAUCGGCUGCUGACAGACCAUUCCAGUGAUGUGGCCCAGUUAAGUACAGAUGAACAUCUGAUGUUGAUAUGUAAACCUGUACUCUGCUGCACAUGGUGUGAAUUGAGGGUUAUUAAAUAAAAGACAGUUAUUAAACUGAAGACAUUUUCAGACAUUAAAAUAUCCCAUACGCCUUGUCCAGCACAACAGGCACAGUCAUCAGUAAAUUUACGUCACAGAAGAUAAGAAUUACUGGUCUGGGAUGGGUCCCAUUUGCUUCCAGGUUGACAGCUCAUUGAUGUUUUCAACCAGUGUCUCUUUCCAAGCGACGAACUACUGAAACUGUCUUCCUUGUAUAUACUUUGUUCACUAAGCUGAUGUCUGUCUCCUUCUGCACCUGCUGGACACCUUGCAGUUGCAGGAUGUAUUGCUUACUUCCGUCUCGGAGCUCUUCAAGUGUUUCUGUGAUGUUUUAUUGUGGUAUUUUGGAAUCUCGGUCAACCCCUGUGCUUAAGCACCAGCAACACCCAGCAAGCUUCUAAUCUGUAAAGGGUUAAUUCAUGGUCUCCUUGUGGUCUCUUCUGAGGCUUUUGUUUGUUUGUUCUGGUCCUUUGGUCCUUUGUCUGGGACUUGAUUACAUGCACAACUUGAGACACGGGUUCUCAGGUUAUAUACUUUAUAGUUUCACUUUCCUUUGUGACUCCAGGUUAAAUCUACUCUCUCAAACAGUUCAUUUUACAUACGCAUGUAAAAGCAGCUGUUCUAGGUCAUAGCAAAGAUCCGUAUAGCUCCACAUCUCCUCUCAACAAUGGCAAGCAGUGGACACCAACAAGAAACAGGGCAGCUUUUGCUUCUGACUGUUGGAAACAACUUUGUAUCAUCAGCCAUCCACCGUCUUGGCUAUCCACCAUCUCUUCCAGCCCAUUUGUGAAUGUGUUGGACAAUGCAGGACCUCGCAUGGGCUCCUUCCCCUGCCUUCUUCUUGCAACUUCCUUUAAUUGUGAAAAAUGAUCAGUAGCUCCCACCUUUGGUUUUCAUCCUCUAACCACCUCUAAUCCACAAAAGGACUUUCCUUCACACUGAGGGGUUUUCAUGAGCCUUUUGGGGUAUCCUGUGAAAAGAUUUCUGGAAAAUACUAUUAUACAAAUGCUGGGGGAAAUUGGAAUGGGGGGAAGGGUGAGGAGCAAGGAGAUGUAUUUGUCUGUGAGACCAGAAAGUUUUUAGUCUUCCUUAUGUCUAAGCUUUCCCUUAACCUAAGCAAAGUGUGUAAUCUGACAGAGCAUUACUUGUGAAAAAGCAGUACGUUUCCACUGAAAUCUGUCUGGCAAUGCUGAUGACACAGGCUGGAUGUUCUGCUUAUCAGUAGACUUACUAAGUUUUGUUUGAUUAACUCAUGUCUUUGAAUCUGGUUCUGUAAGCAAAAAUACUUCUGUCUCUUCAUUGUGAACAAUUGUACUUUGUUCAGAAAGCAUCAAACCCACCUGGAGGGAAUGCAACGGUCAAGCUCUAGCUAGGCUUGGGUAGGGUUAAUGCAAAUUUACACUGAAGUCCACAAAGGCACAGUCAGGGUUUGUAUUUUUACUGCCUAACAUGAACAGCUUAUGCUGCCAGUGAAGUCAGUGAAGCUUUGUCAAUGAUUUCAGUAGGAAACGAACACUAUUUGUCAAAAAAGAUUCACUUGACCUAAUCUUUUUGUAAAUAAAGAAAGAAGACAUCUCGGGAAA